RNAcentral lists this long non-coding RNA (1617 nucleotides) under Daphnia pulex (common water flea). RNAcentral describes it as "uncharacterized LOC124191286". The record is from RNAcentral. Lineage: Eukaryota; Metazoa; Arthropoda; Branchiopoda; Diplostraca; Daphniidae.
UAGUGCCAGAAAAAAGAAACGUUUACAAUAACAUGAAAACAAUGUCCGCUCUGGCUCGUUGACACUUAAUUGAAAGAACUAACAAGAAAAGGCUUUGAUACUCACGUAAUAUUCUCUCCUCCAAAUUUGUAUCUAGUCUUCACCAAAAAGCCACCACCGCAGCAUCACAACAGACGAAAUACCCAAGGUGAUAAAAAUGAGCGGAAGGCAGCAUGACGUUCGCUGUUGUGUCUCUCGUCUGUCAGUGAUUCCAGAUUGUUGACGAAAUAUCGUCUUCUGCUACCUCUAGGUGUCAAUGACCAUUGAUAAUUGGAGAGCAGCAUAGGAAUGUGACAGUUUGUCUGGGCUAAAUGCCCUACUAUAGAAUAGAAUCCUCUUCGGAAACUUUGUCUGCUCCUAAAUUACAUGUUACACAUCAUAAGUUAAAGUUACUUCAAAAAAUCAAAACAAAUAUUUAGAUUAGGAUUUUGAGCUAAGUUAAACCGUUUUUAAUUCAUAACAUUUACCAUAUCAUUAAGCUAAUGGUUCUUAUUGCAUUCUUGACUUCAUGUUUUCAAAAAUUUCAGCUGAUGUUUUUGUGUGAGCUAGGUGCUUGUGACAAUAUAGAGAUCAAAUAUGGUCCAAUCCAAUAAUGUUAAGUUCCAGUGUUAAGUCAUAGUAAAUCUUCAAGAUAUUGAAGACAUCCCCAGAUCCAAUUCUCUGCUGCUAUCAUACCCAUACUUUCUGGAAAGCUGCUGGAGUAAUCCAUCCCCAAUUGAUUCAUUUCGUGCCAGCUUGUGAAAGGCGUGAGGAAUUGCAAAUUUAGCUGCUGCGUGCUGUCUGCAAGGAAGCAAUCCAAUUGGCUGUCGCUAGGUGGCGCGAGCGUCUUCGGCCAUUUUGUUCCUUGACGAAUGAGAAGUGGGAUGCUGCAUGCUGGUCGUGACGUUUCCCAAAAUUCCCAUGGUGAAAAUGUAAAGGUGAUUUCAAUACCACUUUGUCAAACCAGAAUCUAACUCGGAAGCCUGUCCAUUUUGCUGAAAUGUCGUGCCUCGUGUGUCUUGCUGCCUGCACCCAGUCGUAUGUCUCGUGCCAUGCAAAAGCAAAAGUCCGCUGUUGGUUACCUUGUUGCAGCCAGGUGGUGAAAGAUGUGAUGGAGACUAAUUGAACUGUUGUAUGCAGCGUGUGGUUCCAGUGUUAUCCAGAAGUAGCUGUGCUGGCGGUAUCCUGAACUAGCCUGAAGUUGCCAGUGAUAUCCGGGUCGCUGACUUUAAAUAUUUUUCUGUUUGCAUUUUGUGUAUUUGCCCUGCCAAUGUUAUCCUGUGUUUGAAAUCUGUUCUCUUUCGUGUUUUUUUUUGCUCUACCAGUGAUUUCCUGUGUUGCAGUCUUGAAAUGGUUUCACUGUCGUCUUUGGCGUUUUUAUUGUGCAGUAUACGAUUGAGGCAACCUGAUCUAUGUCAGGUUUGACACAGUCGACAACUGCUAGAUUAAAUUCCGGCUUUCUGCACCAACAAAAUAAUAACGGCACAUGUUAUUAUCGCGGUUGGGAAAGUCACAGGCCCCCCCCUCCCUGGGGGCCAUAAAAUUUACAUGUGGUUAUGUUUGUAAAAAAUAAAAAAAUAAAAUACAUAUUAAAAGAAU